GUAAUGCUGCUGCUUAGCCAGAUUUGGGAACUUCUUUAAAGUAUGAGACAGCUUUAAAGAAUUUGCAAGAAUAUUUGCAUUUUUCAAAGGAGAAAAUAAAUCUUUCAAAUGAAGCAUUUCCACUCAGAAUUUUUCCGUUAUGUGGGUGGUUUGAAAAGGUAUGCUGAGGAGGGGCACUUCCUAACACCUCAGAAAUCAGGACAGGAAGUGAGCUACUUACUUUGCUUUCUCAAAAGUGUAUUCUUUCUUACAUAUGCACCAUGCAUGGACCUUGAUUAAAUUUUUUAUCUGAAAAAAAUAAGUCAGUAGGCUAUUUACCGACACCCCCCCCCCAAUAGAACACAGCCUGCAAAACAAAACUCCUUAAAAUCUUAGUUUCAUCUCUUCUGAUAGUUGCAUGUCUUGGGGAAAAUAUUUAGCCAUUUUGAGACUUAGUUUGCUUGUCCACUAAAUGCACAUACCCAUAUAUAUCCCAUGGGAUUGGCCCAAGGAUGAUACAAACUUUUGUGGGUGGUUUGGCCUAGUAGGUGUGCAACAAAUGUAACUAACGUUCCUUUUAAAAGAACAUAAUCACUGACCUGUAACCUGAACCAUAUCAACUUCCUAUGCAACAGAGUACACCAUCUUGUGUUCCAUUAUUUUUAAAUGAUGCUAUGUAAAAUAAUAUUCUAUGGACAAACUUGUUUGGCAAAUAGUGGAGAACACUUGUCUCAUUGGGAGAUCUUCACAAUAUGCAGUUUAGAAAUCUCAAAAAAUUUUUCAUGAAUAAAAUUUUCUUUAAUUCAUCAUUACUAUAAAUGCAUGUGACUAUGGACCUUUUUGGUCAUGGGACAUCAAUGAAUAUCCUAGAAAUAGUAUCCCAAGAAGCACACUAUGGCAAAAGAUUCUCUUUGCCAUUAAUCUAUUAAAAAUAUAUGAUUUAGUUUCUAGGCAAAUGGAGACAGUACAAAAUAAAACCUCAAGGUAUAGAUUUUAAUUAUAAAUAGAUGUGAAUCACAUUGUAAUGGAGUAGCAGAUAUAAAAUUCAUGUAUAAGAUCCCACGUAUAGAUGUUGUAUAGCUAUUUUUUGUUCUGUUUGCAUAUGUAAAUAUGCACAUGUAUAUAUGUUUUACUGUGUAUGUCUUUAAAUGUAUGAGUUUGUGUCUACGUGUAUGUAUAAAAUUAGGAAUCUCUUCAUGUGAUUACUAUAUCAAUUUGUGAAUAGUAUAUGAAAUGCAAUUCCCUGUUCAAUAAAAAAGGAUUUAUAAUCA
RNAcentral lists this long non-coding RNA (1250 nucleotides) under Marmota monax (woodchuck). The record is from RNAcentral. Lineage: Eukaryota; Metazoa; Chordata; Mammalia; Rodentia; Sciuridae.